RNAcentral lists this unclassified non-coding RNA (699 nucleotides) under Hevea brasiliensis (rubber tree). The record is from RNAcentral. Lineage: Eukaryota; Viridiplantae; Streptophyta; Magnoliopsida; Malpighiales; Euphorbiaceae.
AAGGAAGAGCCCAAGCGUGAGGAGAUUUUGGCUGUUGUUAUGGUAAGUGAUGAAUGAUAGCGAUAAUGUUUGUAGUUUGAUUUUGCGGCUAUUCAGUUGUGUUUUGUAUUAAUUCUGUUUAUGGUGUUUGACUUUUCAUGUAUAUAAAGAAAAUUAAAAGGGAGAGUGACUAUUUACAGGUUUCUGUUAGUGUUGGCGUGACGAAUUUGGUGGGUUGUUGGUUUGGGGCCAUGCCCGUGUGCUCAAGUUUGCAGAAAUUUCUUUGGCUACGGCAUCUAUAGACAAGAAAGGAGAGGGAGAGGAACAAGAGAAGAGAGAGAAACAAAGAGAGAGUGUUGUAGAUGCAUUUGUGAGCAGGUUUACUUGUUUGGAAUUUCAAAUUGCACUAAAUCCAUUUCAGUUGGGGGCUGUUUCAAAAAUCAAGGGACCAGACCAUAAUCUUCAUCUGCAACUUUGAUUUUAGAUUUUUAAUUCAAGUUUCAAAAAAAAUUAGUUAUGAUGUAAUAUUUUUUUAGAAGUCUUGUUCUUUUAUUCGGCUGUAGCCUCUCUAUAAAGGGCAUCGAUUAUGAUUAAUAAAAUAAGUAGCAUUUUAUCCAAAAAGUAUCUAUGAGAUUGGAGGGUUCUCUCCAACAAGCAACUACUCAAUUUUCACUGCAACACACACAGGAAUCUUAGAAAAGGGAAAAUGAUUCCGAAGAA